Molecule: ribosomal RNA, 253 nt
Filed under: uncultured bacterium
Lineage: Bacteria
Description: partial 16S ribosomal RNA
Rfam family: Bacterial small subunit ribosomal RNA
Source: RNAcentral
AACGUAGGUUCCGAGCGUUAUCCGGAUUUACUGGGCGUAAAGCGCGUUCAGGCGGUUUGGAAAGUCGGGCAUGAAAUCUCUCGGCUCAACCGGGAGAGGUUGUCCGAUACUUCCAGACUUGAGGGCAGUAGAGGGUGGUGGAAUUCCGGGUGUAGUGGUGAAAUGCGUAGAUAUCCGGAGGAACACCAGUGGCGAAAGCGGCCACCUGGACUGCACCUGACGCUGACACGCGAAAGCUAGGGGAGCGAACGGG